This 301-nucleotide ribosomal RNA is filed under the name uncultured bacterium. RNAcentral describes it as "partial 16S ribosomal RNA". It matches the Rfam family "Bacterial small subunit ribosomal RNA", at positions 509 to 807 of the family's 1533-position model. The record is from RNAcentral.
CAGUAGCCGCGGUAACACGGAGGGUGCAAGCGUUAUCCGGAUUUAUUGGGUUUAAAGGGUCCGUAGGCGGAUCUGUAAGUCAGUGGUGAAAUCUCACAGCUUAACUGUGAAACUGCCAUUGAUACUGCAGGUCUUGAGUAAAUUUGAAGUGGCUGGAAUAAGUAGUGUAGCGGUGAAAUGCAUAGAUAUUACUUAGAACACCAAUUGCGAAGGCAGGUCACUAAGAUUUAACUGACGCUGAUGGACGAAAGCGUGGGGAGCGAACAGGAUUAGAUACCCCUGUAGUCCCUGUCUCUUAUAC